AGGCGACCGCUGUUGGAGUUCGAUUAAGCCAUGCGAGUAGAAUGAAAUUAGAUUCAUUGCAAACUGCUCAGUAACACGUGGGUAACCUGCCCUAUGCUCUGGGAUAAUCUCGGGAAACUGAGAAUAAUACCGGAUAGAUCACAACGCCUGGAACGGUGUGUGGUUGAAAGGUUACGGCAUAGGAUGGGUCUGCGGCGUAUCAGGUCGUAGGGGGUGUAAUGGACCCCCUAGCCAUCGACGCGUACGGGUGUUGGGAGACAUAGCCCGGAGACGGAUUCUGAGACACGAAUCCGGACCCUACGGGGUGCAGCAGGCGCGAAAACUUCACACUGCAGGAAACUGUGAUGAGGGAACUCCAAGUGGAUGCACAUAGUGUAUCUCUUUUCUUUACUAUUAAUCGGUAUUGGAAUAAGGGCUGGGAAAGACCGGUGCCAGCCGCCGCGGUAAUACCGGCAGCUCGAGUGGUCGUCGCUUUUAUUGGGCCUAAAACGUCCGUAGCCUGUUUGGUAAAUCUGUGGGUAAAUCAACCAGCUUAACUGGUUGAAUUCUGCAGAGACUGCGAGACUAGGGACCGGGAGAGGUGUGGGGUACUCUAGGGGUAGGGGUAAAAUCCUGUCAUCCUUAGAGGACCACCAGUUGCGAAGGCGCCACACUAGAACGGAUCCGACGGUCAGGGACGAAGCCUAGGGGCACGAACCGGAUUAGAUACCCGGGUAGUCCUAGGUGUAAACGCUGUGAACUUGGUGUCGGGAGUCCGCAAUGGGCCCCCGGUGCCGGAGUGAAGAUGUUAAGUUCACUUCCUGGGGAGUACGGUCGCAAGGCUGAAACUUAAAGGAAUUGGCGGGGGAGCACUGCAACGCGAGGAGCGUGCGGUUU
This 876-nucleotide ribosomal RNA is filed under the name uncultured euryarchaeote. RNAcentral describes it as "bacterial SSU rRNA". It matches the Rfam family "Archaeal small subunit ribosomal RNA", at positions 21 to 903 of the family's 1478-position model. Lineage: Archaea; Methanobacteriati; Methanobacteriota. The record is from RNAcentral.